Hippopotamus amphibius kiboko is the source of this 142-nucleotide small nucleolar RNA. RefSeq annotates it as small nucleolar RNA SNORA67. Lineage: Eukaryota; Metazoa; Chordata; Mammalia; Artiodactyla; Hippopotamidae. The transcript has a single exon. The record is from RefSeq and is a predicted model, not a curated record.
UCCCAAUGUGAUCCCCUCUGCGACGGGCCAACUAGUGCUCCCCCAGCUCCCAGAAACAUAGCCACUUGGGAUAAAAUCUGGUAUGCCCAAGGUCUGUGAGGGUAAAGUGAUGUUUCCUUUUGACUUAUGACUGCCUAUGUAU